UAGGGAAUCUUCGGCAAUGGACGAAAGUCUGACCGAGCAACGCCGCGUGAGUGAAGAAGGUUUUCGGAUCAUAAAACUCUGUUGGUAGAGAAGAACGUUGGUGAGAGUGGAAAGCUCAUCAAGUGACGGUAACUACCCAGAAAGGGACGGCUAACUACGUGCCAGCAGCCGCGGUAAUACGUAGGUCCCGAGCGUUGUCCGGAUUUAUUGGGCGUAAAGCGAGCGCAGGUGGUUUAUUAAGUCUGGUGUAAAGGCAGUGGCUCAACCAUUGUAUGCAUUGGAAACUUGUAGACUUGAGUGCAGGAGAGGAGAGUGGAAUUCCAUGUGUAGCGGUGAAAUGCGUAGAUAUAUGGAGGAACACCGGUGGCGAAAGCGGCUCUCUGGCCUGUAACUGACACUGAGGCUCGAAAGCGUGGGGAGCAAACA
Molecule: ribosomal RNA, 426 nt
Filed under: uncultured bacterium
Lineage: Bacteria
Description: partial 16S ribosomal RNA
Rfam family: Bacterial small subunit ribosomal RNA
Source: RNAcentral